UACGUAGGGGUGCAAGCGUUUAAUCGGAAUUACUGGGCGUAAAGCGUGCGCAGGCGGUUUUGUAAGUCUGUCGUGAAAUCCCCGGGCUCAACCUGGGAAUUGCGAUGGAGACUGCAAGGCUAGAAUCUGGCAGAGGGGGGGUAGAAUUCCACGUGUAGCAGUGAAAUGCGUAGAGAUGUGGAGGAAUACCGAUGGCGAAGGCAGCCCCCUGGGAUAACACUGACGCUCAUGCACGAAAGCGUGGGGAGCAAACAGG
RNAcentral lists this ribosomal RNA (256 nucleotides) under uncultured bacterium. RNAcentral's name for it is "partial 16S ribosomal RNA". It matches the Rfam family "Bacterial small subunit ribosomal RNA", at positions 524 to 776 of the family's 1533-position model. The record is from RNAcentral.